This 706-nucleotide long non-coding RNA is filed under the name Monodelphis domestica (gray short-tailed opossum). RNAcentral's name for it is "lncRNA (ENSMODG00000029868.2)". Lineage: Eukaryota; Metazoa; Chordata; Mammalia; Didelphimorphia; Didelphidae. The record is from RNAcentral.
GACACAGGAAGUGAGAUAAAAAACAGCCUCUGGAGUUCUCGUGACUUCCUGUGGAGAGGGCUAGAGUUCAGUUCGAUCCUGGAGCUCAAGCUUGGAGGAGCUCAGCAGACAGCUUUCCUUCAGACUGGUCACGGGUGGGAGGAGAAGAUAGAUAAGAACAGAACUCAAGAGUUGACAUUCCCAGCCCACCAUACUCAAAUUCUGCCUUUAUUUAAUGGGAGAGAUUGUUUGCUUCAGCCAGAUGUUCAAGCGCACUCCACCAACAUCCCAACCCAGGAAGGAAAACAAGCUAGCCACAGAAGACCACCCAAUUUAUCUCCUUUCUCUGUCAGCAAUCCAAGAGUCAGGAGGCUCCUGGGAAAUGUAGUUCAAAGGCACAAGAUUUCCAAUUACAUUCAAGGGAGCAUCUACAGAAGUAAUUCAGCUGCCCUAGCAAGGGGGACAUUUUCAAAGGAUGAAGAAUUGACUGAACCUCAAAGGCUGGAUGAUUCCAUUUAUGCACUUCAGUACAACUCCGUCACACCUUUGGGCUCACCCUAGCCAAAAGCCUUUGGUCUCUUUCUUCACCUUGCUUUACACUCCCUUCUUCUCCCCCCACCUCAACCUUUCAGCUCCACUUUACAUUUAAGUGGGUUCAGAUGGGUUUCUGAUGUGCUGUGGCCUUGGAUGUAUUACUGAAUAAACAAUUCUAGAAAUCAAUUAAGCA